AUUCAGAUGGUUAAUGAAUCCAGUGUUUUUGCAGUUGAAAGCUCGUGCAUUCACUGGGCAAAAGCUGGCUGCAGGUUGCAGUGGCACCGCGCAGGACAGACAUUAAUUAUAUUUCCUACUUUUUUCAAUAAUGUUUGGCUACUCGGUUCAGCGAGGAAGAAUGCCUCCAACCCAGCCCAAUCCAGGCCAGUACGCACUCACCAACGGGGACCCCCUCAACGGCCACUGCUACCUGUCCGGCUACAUCUCGCUGCUGCUGCGCGCCGAGCCCUACCCCACGUCGCGCUACGGCAGCCAGUGCAUGCAGCCCAACAACAUUAUGGGCAUCGAGAACAUCUGCGAGCUGGCCGCGCGCCUGCUCUUCAGCGCCGUCGAGUGGGCCCGCAACAUCCCCUUCUUCCCGGAUCUGCAGAUCACCGACCAGGUGUCCCUGCUACGCCUCACCUGGAGCGAGCUGUUCGUGCUCAACGCGGCCCAGUGCUCUAUGCCGCUGCACGUGGCGCCGCUGCUGGCCGCCGCCGGCCUGCAUGCCUCGCCCAUGUCCGCCGACCGCGUCGUGG
RNAcentral lists this small RNA (560 nucleotides) under Pan troglodytes (chimpanzee). RNAcentral's name for it is "processed transcript". The record is from RNAcentral. Lineage: Eukaryota; Metazoa; Chordata; Mammalia; Primates; Hominidae.